UACGUAGGUCCCGAGCGUUGUCCGGAUUUAUUGGGCGUAAAGCGAGCGCAGGUGGUUUAUUAAGUCUGGUAUGAAAGGCAGUGGCUCAACCAUUGUAUGCAUUGGAAACUGGUAGACUUGAGUGCAGGAGAGGAGAGUGGAAUUCCAUGUGUAGCGGUGAAAUGCGUAGAUAUAUGGAGGAACACCGGUGGCGAAAGCGGCUCUCUGGCCUGUAACUGACACUGAGGCUCGAAAGCGUGGGGAGCAAACAGG
This 252-nucleotide ribosomal RNA is filed under the name uncultured bacterium. RNAcentral describes it as "partial 16S ribosomal RNA". It matches the Rfam family "Bacterial small subunit ribosomal RNA", at positions 524 to 776 of the family's 1533-position model. The record is from RNAcentral.